Molecule: long non-coding RNA, 232 nt
Organism: Acanthopagrus latus (yellowfin seabream)
Lineage: Eukaryota; Metazoa; Chordata; Actinopteri; Spariformes; Sparidae
Exons: 3
Source: RefSeq, a predicted model, not a curated record
GUAAAGCGUCAGCUCGUCCCCUUCUGUGUUUGUCCGCUGUGUGAGUGUGGCAGGAGCUGUGCUCGGUGUCUCCGUCAGUGACCAUCAGCUGUUUCUCUGUUGUCAGAUGAAUAGGUUUGUUUUGACACCACACCGUGAAUGACCGGUACCGACGGCUCAGCGCAACAGGUCUCACCUCUACUGGUCGUCAUAGCAACACGGUGAGGUAGACACCAGAUCUGACCAAUCAGCG